Molecule: ribosomal RNA, 4842 nt
Filed under: Spiroplasma litorale
Lineage: Bacteria; Bacillati; Mycoplasmatota; Mollicutes; Entomoplasmatales; Spiroplasmataceae
Description: bacterial LSU rRNA
Rfam family: Bacterial large subunit ribosomal RNA (bases 1786-4696)
Source: RNAcentral
GGCUCAGGAUGAACGCUGGCGGCAUGCCUAAUACAUGCAAGUCGAACGGGGUGCUUGCACCCAGUGGCGAACGGGUGAGUAACACGUAUCUAAUCUACCUCUUAGUGGGGGAUAACAGUUGGAAACGACUGCUAAUACCGCAUACGACACCAUUAUGGCAUCAGAAGGUGUUAAAAGGUCCGUUUGGACCGCUAGGAGAUGAGGAUGCGGCGUAUUAGCUAGUAGGUGAGGUAAUGGCUCACCUAGGCGAUGAUACGUAGCCGAACUGAGAGGUUGAUCGGCCACAUUGGGACUGAGAUACGGCCCAGACUCCUACGGGAGGCAGCAGUAGGGAAUUUUUCACAAUGGGCGAAAGCCUGAUGAAGCAAUGCCGCGUGAGUGAUGAAGGUCUUCGGAUUGUAAAGCUCUGUUGUAAGGGAAGAAAUGCUAGAAGAGGAAAUGCUUUUAGUUUGACGGUACCUUACCAGAAAGCCACGGCUAACUAUGUGCCAGCAGCCGCGGUAAUACAUAGGUGGCAAGCGUUAUCCGGAUUUAUUGGGCGUAUAGGGUGCGUAGGUGGUUAGUUAAGUUUGAGGUUAAAUCCCAGGGCUCAACCCUGGUCCGCCUUGAAAACUGGCUAACUAGAAUACAGGAGAGGUAGAUGGAAUUCCAUGUGUAGCGGUGGAAUGCGUAGAUAUAUGGAGGAACACCAGUGGCGAAGGCGGUCUACUGGCCUGUGAUUGACACUGAGGCACGAAAGCGUGGGGAGCAAAUAGGAUUAGAUACCCUAGUAGUCCACGCCGUAAACGUUGAGUACUAAGUGUCGGCAAUUUGUCGGUGCUGCAGCUAACGCAUUAAGUACUCCGCCUGAGUAGUAUGCUCGCAAGAGUGAAACUCAAAGGAAUUGACGGGGACCCGCACAAGUGGUGGAGCAUGUGGUUUAAUUCGAAGCAACGCGAAGAACCUUACCAGGGCUUGACAUCCAGUGCAAAACUACAGAGAUGUAGUGGAGGCCAACAUUGAGACAGGUGGUGCAUGGUUGUCGUCAGCUCGUGCCGUGAGGUGUUGGGUUAAGUCCCGCAACGAGCGCAACCCCUAUCGUUAGUUACUAACAUUAAGUUGAGCACUUUAACGAGACUGCUAGUGUAAGCUAGAGGAAGGUGGGGAUGACGUCAAAUCAUCAUGCCCCUUAUGUCCUGGGCUACACACGUGCUACAAUGGCUGAUACAAAGAGUCGCAAUCCUGUGAGGGGGAGCUAAUCUCAAAAAGUCAGUCUCAGUUCGGAUUGAAGUCUGCAACUCGACUUCAUGAAGCCGGAAUCACUAGUAAUCGCGAAUCAGCAACGUCGCGGUGAAUACGUUCUCGGGUCUUGUACACACCGCCCGUCACACCAUGAGAGUUGGUAAUACCAGAAGCACGUAUCUUAACCGUAAGGAGAGAGCGUACCAAGGUAGGAUUAGCGAUUAGGGUGAAGUCGUAACAAGGUAUCCGUACGGGAACGUGCGGAUGGAUCACCUCCUUUCUAUGGAGUAAUACAUAGAUAUAUAUAAGCUGAGUGAAUAUUAAUAGACAGCUUUUGGCUUGUAUCUUGGUUCUAUCUAGUUUUCAGAGAUUGUUUUAGUUUUUUUACAAACUUGACAAUUUCUGAAAAGAAAUCGUUCUUUGAAAACUGAAUAUUAGAUGAAUUAGACAAUUUUAUUUUUCUUACGUUUCAAUAUAAACGUAAUAGUAACUUAAAAAGUUUUACUAAGAAAACUAAAAUUUCAAUUUUAUAUAGAUUAUCUAUAUUUGCAAUAAGGUUUUUCUUUAGAAAGUAUAGUAAGGGCAUAUGGUGAAUGCCUUGGAAAAUGGAGCCGAUGAAGGACGUGACUACCUGCGAAAAGCGACGGGGAACUGGAAGUAAGUUUUGAUCCGUCGAUGUCCGAAUGGGGAAACCCGUUAUGAUUAAUCUCAUAACAUCUCUAACUGAAUACAUAGGUUAUUGAAGGGAACCUAGGGAACUGAAACAUCUUAGUACCUAGAGGAAAAGAAAACGAAUGUGAUUCUGUCAGUAGCGGCGAGCGAAAGCGGAACAGGCCAAACCGGUCUACGGGCCGGGGUUGUAGGACUCUUGUUAGAGUUACAAAAUUAGUGUAUAGCAGAAACUGUUGGGAAACAGUGGCAUAGAGUGUGAUACCCACGUAUGCGAAAUGCACUAAUCUCGAGAGAGUAUCCUGAGUACGGCGGGGCACGUGAAACCCUGUCGGAAUCUACCCAGACCACUGGGUAAGCCUAAAUACUACCAUUUUACCGAUAGUGAACCAGUACCGUGAGGGAAAGGUGAAAAGUACCCCGUGAGGGGAGUGAAAUAGUACCUGAAACCAUAUGCUUACAAGAAGUCAGAGCCCGUUAAUGGGUGAUGGCGUGCUUUUUGUAGAAAGAGCCGGCGAGUUACGAUAUCAUGCAAGGUUAAGUGGAAUACACGGAGCCGCAGUGAAAGCGAGCCUUAAUAGGGCGUUCAGUAUGAUGUCGUAGACACGAAACCAGGUGAUCUAGCCAUGAGCAGGUUGAAGUUAGGGUAAAACCUAAUGGAGGACCGAACCGACGUUCGUUGAAAUGACCGCGGAUGACUUGUGGCUAGGGGUGAAAUUCCAAUCGAACCUGGAGAUAGCUAGUUCUCCCCGAUAUAGCUUUAAGGCUAGCGUCGAGGUUAGGAUUAUGGAGGUAGAGCUCUGAAUGUAUGAUGGCCCCACCUAGGGGUACUGAUUACAAUUAAACUACGAAUGCCAUAAUUUCAUACUCGGCAGUCAGAACAUGGGUGAUAAGGUCCAUGCUCGUGAGGGAAACAGCCCAGAUCAACAACUAAGGUCCCUAAAUUUAUGCUAAGUGUGUAAGGAUGUGGGAGUGCAUAGACAGCUAGGAUGUUGGCUCAGAAGCAGCCAUCAUUUAAAGAGUGCGUAACAGCUCACUAGUCGAGUGCUCCUGCGCCGAAAAUGUACCGGGGCUUAAGCAUAGUACCGAAGUUUUGGAUUUACAGCAAUGUAAGUGGUAGGGGAGCGUUCUAACUGUAAUGAAGUUAAACCGUGAGGAUUAGUGGAACGGUUAGAAGUGAUUAUGCCGGCAUGAGUAACGUUUGGGAGUGAGAAUCUCCCAUGCCGUUUGACCAAGGUUUCCUGGGCAAGGUUCGUCCACCCAGGGUUAGUCAGGACCUAAGGCGAGGCCGAAAGGCGUAGUCGAUGGACAACAGGUUGAUAUUCCUGUACCACCUAAUAAAGUGAUGGAGUGACGGAGAAGGAUAGUGGAUGCCGGCUGAUGGUUAUGCCGGUCUAAAUACAAAGAGGUGUACGUUGGCAAAUCCGCGUGCUAUAACCUUGAAGUAUGAUGGGGAGUGAACGCUUCGGCAAGUAGCGAAGUCCAUGACUCCACGCUUCCAAGAAAAGCUUCUAGCGUUAAUUUAUUAGGUGCCUGUACCGAUAACGAACACACGUGGUCAAGGAGAGAAUCCUAAGGCAAGCGAGAUAACUAUAGCUAAGGAACUCUGCAAAAUGACCCCGUAAGUUCGCGAGAAGGGGUGCUCACUUUUAGUGAGCCGCAGUGAAAAGGGAGGGGCAACUGUUUAGCAAAAACACAGCUCUCUGCAAAGUCGCAAGACGAAGUAUAGGGGGUGACACCUGCCCAGUGCCGGAAGGUUAAGAGGAGAUGUUAGCUUCGGUGAAGCAUUGAAUUGAAGCCCCGGUGAACGGCGGCCGUAACUAUAACGGUCCUAAGGUAGCGAAAUUCCUUGUCAGGUAAGUUCUGACCCGCACGAAAGGUGUAAUGAUCCCUUCGCUGUCUCGGCUAUAGACUCGGUGAAAUUUUAGUACCAGUGAAGAUGCUGGUUACCCGCAACUAGACGGAAAGACCCCGUGGAGCUUUACUAUAACUUAAUAUUGAAUUUUGGUGUAACAUGUAGAGGAUAGGUGGGAGACUUUGAAGCGGUCACGCUAGUGGCUGUGGAGUCAUCCUUGGAAUACCACCCUUGUUAUAUUGAGAUUCUAACCUAGACCUGUUAUCCAGGUCAGGGACAGUGUUUGGUGGGUAGUUUGACUGGGGCGGUCGCCUCCUAAAGAGUAACGGAGGCGCUCAAAGGUACCCUCAGUACGGUUGGAAAUCGUACGCAGAGCGCAAAGGUAUAAGGGUGCUUAACUGCGAGACUUACAAGUCGAACAGAUGCGAAAGCAGGACUUAGUGAUCCGGCGGUCCCGUGUGGAAGGGCCGUCGCUCAACGGAUAAAAGUUACCCCGGGGAUAACAGGCUAAUCUCCCCCAAGAGUUCACAUCGACGGGGAGGUUUGGCACCUCGAUGUCGGCUCAUCGCAUCCUGGAGCUGUAGUCGGUUCCAAGGGUUGGGCUGUUCGCCCAUUAAAGCGGUACGUGAGCUGGGUUCAGAACGUCGUGAGACAGUUUGGUCCCUAUCUGUUGUGGGCGUAGGAAAAUUGAAGAGAGCUGUUCCUAGUACGAGAGGACCGGAAUGGACGCACCUCUGGUGCUCCUGUUGUCACGCCAGUGGCAUAGCAGGGUAGCUAUGUGCGGAAAGGAUAAUCGCUGAAGGCAUCUAAGCGAGAAGCCUCCUUUAAGAUGAAUUUUCCCAUUCUUUAAGAAGUAAGAUCCCAUGUAGACCACAUGGUUGAUAGGUUGGGUGUGUAAGCACGGUGACGUGUUAAGCUUACCAAUACUAAUAGAUCGAGGACUUUCAAAGAAAGAAUCUUAUAAACAAUUGCUUUAUAGAUAUAUAUAACAUCUAAUACUCAGUUUUGAGAGAAUGAUUUAGUUAUUUUUUUAAAAUAACUUCUCUCUCAAGCACAAGAUCUGGUGAUUAUGGUGCUGAGGUCACACCCGUUCCCAU